RNAcentral lists this ribosomal RNA (320 nucleotides) under uncultured eukaryote. RNAcentral's name for it is "partial 18S ribosomal RNA". It matches the Rfam family "Eukaryotic small subunit ribosomal RNA", at positions 1470 to 1796 of the family's 1831-position model. The record is from RNAcentral.
CCCUUAGAUGUUCUGGGCCGCACGCGCGCUACACUGACUACUUCAACGAGUUGUUUCCUUGAUCGAAAGGUCUGGGUAAUCUUUGAAAGGUAGUCGUGAUGGGGAUAGAUCCUUGCAAUUUUUGAUCUUCAACGAGGAAUUCCUAGUAAACGCAAGUCAUCAGCUUGCAUUGAUUACGUCCCUGCCCUUUGUACACACCGCCCGUCGCACCUACCGAUUGAAUGGUCCGGUGAAAUCUCGGGACGGCGGCUUGGUCGCUUGCGUCCGACUGCUGAAACUUGAUUAAACCAUAUCAUUUAGAGGAAGGUGAAGUCGUAACA